ACCUCUAGCAUUACUAGUAUUAGAGGCACUGCCUGCCCAGUGACACACGUUUAACGGCCGCGGUACCCUGACCGUGCAAAGGUAGCAUAAUCACUUGUUCUUUAAAUAGGGACUCGUAUGAAUGGCACCACGAGGGUUUAACUGUCUCUUACUUUCAACCAGUGAAAUUGACCUGUCCGUGAAGAGACGGACAUGAAACAAUAAGACGAGAAGACCCUGUGGAGCUUCAAUUUAUUAGUACAACUAAAAACCGUACAAACCAACAGGUCCUAAACCCCUACAUCUGUGCUAAAAAUUUUGGUUGGGGCGACCUCGGAGCACAACUAAACCUCCGAAUAAUCCACGCUAAGACUAUACAAGUCAAAGCAAACUGACACUUACAAUUGACCCAAUAAUUUGAUCAACGGAACAAGUUACCCCAGGGAUAACAGCGCAAUUCUAUUCUAGAGUCCAUAUCAACAAUAGAGUUUACGACCUCGAUGUUGGAUCAGGACAUCCUGAUGGUGCAGCAGCUAUCAAG
RNAcentral lists this ribosomal RNA (520 nucleotides) under Cercopithecus erythrogaster (white-throated guenon). Its description in RNAcentral is "partial 16S ribosomal RNA". It matches the Rfam family "Bacterial large subunit ribosomal RNA", at positions 1818 to 2569 of the family's 2925-position model. Lineage: Eukaryota; Metazoa; Chordata; Mammalia; Primates; Cercopithecidae. The record is from RNAcentral.